RNAcentral lists this ribosomal RNA (600 nucleotides) under uncultured bacterium. Its description in RNAcentral is "bacterial SSU rRNA". It matches the Rfam family "Bacterial small subunit ribosomal RNA", at positions 32 to 605 of the family's 1533-position model. The record is from RNAcentral.
AACGCUUACGGCGGGCUUACACCCUGCAAGUCGAAGGGGCACAUGAGGUCUAUGUUUUUAGAUUUCGAUGGCGACCGGCGAACGGGUGCGUAACACGUACGUAACUUACCUUUUGCUAGAAAAUAGCCUGAGGAAACUUGGAUUAAUAUUCUAUAACAUAGUAUUAUUGCAUGAUAAUAUUAUUCAACGCAGAUAUGCGGCAAAAGAUAGUGCGUGCGUCUGAUUAGUUAGUUGGUAGGGUAAAAGCCUACAAAGACAAUGAUCGGUAGGGGGCCUGAGAGGGUGAUCCCCCACACUGGUACUGAGAUACGGACCAGACUCCUACGGGAGGCAGCAGUGAGGAAUAUUCGGUCAAUGGAGGAAACUCUGAACCAGACCACGCCGCGUGCAGGAAGAAGGCCCUAUGGGUUGUAAACUGCUUUUGUAUAGGAAUAAAAAUUCUUACGAGAUAAGAAUCAUGAAGGUACUAUACGAAUAAGUGUCGGCAAAACUCCGUGCCAGCAGCCGCGGUAAUACGGAGGACACAAGCGUUAUCCGGAUUUAUCAGAGGUUUAACAGAGGUGCGUAGAGCGGUUUAUUAAGCUCCAAGUAAGUGCACAU